UACGUAGGGAGCAAGCGUUGUUCGGAUUUACUGGGCGUAAAGGGCGCGUAGGCGGCAUAUUAAGUCAUCUGUGAAAUCUCCGAGCUUAACUCGGAACUGUCAGCUGAUACUGAUGUGCUAGAGUGCGGAAGGGGCAAUCGGAAUUCUUGGUGUAGCGGUGAAAUGCGUAGAUAUCAAGAGGAACACCUGAGGUGAAGACGGGUUGCUGGGCCGACACUGACGCUGAGUGCGCGAAAGCCAGGGGAGCAAACAGG
This 254-nucleotide ribosomal RNA is filed under the name uncultured bacterium. RNAcentral describes it as "partial 16S ribosomal RNA". It matches the Rfam family "Bacterial small subunit ribosomal RNA", at positions 524 to 776 of the family's 1533-position model. The record is from RNAcentral.